UGAGGAAUAUUGGGCAAUGCCCGCAAGGGUGACCCAGCAACGCCGCGUGGAGGAUGAAUGUCGUAAGAUUGUAAACUCCUGUUAGAGGGGAAGAAUAGUACCGGUUGGACCGGUAUAUGACUGUACCCUCAGAGAAAGCCCCGGCUAACUACGUGCCAGCAGCCGCGGUAAUACGUAGGGGGCAAGCGUUGUCCGGAUUUACUGGGUGUAAAGGGCGCGCAGGCGGGAUAAAAAGUCAGUGGUGAAAUCCUACAGCUUAACUGUAGAACUGCCUUUGAUACUUUUAUUUUUGAGUUCGGGAGAGAGAGACGGAAUUUCAGGUGUAGUGGUGAAAUACGUAGAUAUCUGGAAGAACACCAGUUGCGAAGGCGGUCUCUUGGUCCGACACUGACGCUGAGGCGCGAAAGCGUGGGGAGCAAACA
Molecule: ribosomal RNA, 422 nt
Filed under: uncultured bacterium
Lineage: Bacteria
Description: bacterial SSU rRNA
Rfam family: Bacterial small subunit ribosomal RNA
Source: RNAcentral